This 731-nucleotide ribosomal RNA is filed under the name Pseudogymnoascus sp. RNAcentral's name for it is "partial large subunit ribosomal RNA". It matches the Rfam family "Eukaryotic large subunit ribosomal RNA", at positions 82 to 834 of the family's 3401-position model. The record is from RNAcentral. Lineage: Eukaryota; Fungi; Ascomycota; Leotiomycetes; Thelebolales; Thelebolaceae.
AGUAACGGCGAGUGAAGCGGUAACAGCUCAAAUUUGAAAUCUGGCCUCACGGUCCGAGUUGUAAUUUGUAGAGGAUGCUUCGAGCAUGGUCUGGCCUAAGUUCCUUGGAACAGGACGUCAUAGAGGGUGAGAAUCCCGUAUGCGGCCAGGUGCCUACGCUCAUGUGAAGCUCCUUCGACGAGUCGAGUUGUUUGGGAAUGCAGCUCAAAAUGGGUGGUAAAUUUCAUCUAAAGCUAAAUAUUGGCCAGAGACCGAUAGCGCACAAGUAGAGUGAUCGAAAGAUGAAAAGCACUUUGGAAAGAGAGUUAAACAGUACGUGAAAUUGUUGAAAGGGAAGCGCUUGCAACCAGACUUGCGCGCGGCCGAUCAUCCGGUGUUCUCACCGGUGCACUCGGCCGUGCUCAGGCCAGCAUCGGUUUUGGCGGCUGGAUAAAGGCCCUAGGAAUGUAGCUCCUCUCGGGGAGUGUUAUAGCCUAGGGUGCAAUGCAGCCUGCUGGGACCGAGGACCGCGCUUCGGCUAGGAUGCUGGCGUAAUGGUUGUAAGCGGCCCGUCUUGAAACACGGACCAAGGAGUCUAACAUCUAUGCGAGUGUUUGGGUGUCAAACCCAUACGCGUAAUGAAAGUGAACGGAGGUGAGAACCCUUAAGGGUGCAUCAUCGACCGGUCCUGAAGUUUACGGAAGGAUCUGAGUAAGAGCAUAGCUGUUGGGACCCGAAAGAUGGUGAACUAU